CCUACGGGAGGCAGCAGUGGGGAAUAUUGCACAAUGGGGGAAACCCUGAUGCAGCAACGCCGCGGGAGGGAAGAGGUUUUUCGGUAUGUAAAGCCCUAUGAGCAGGGAAGAAGAGAGACGAUCCCUCGCAUAAACACCCCGGCUAACUACGCGAGAACAGCCGCGGAAAGACGGAGGGGGAACGCGUUAUCCGGAUUUACUGGGUGUAAAGGGAGCGUAGGCGGGAGGGCAAGUCUGAUGUGAAACCCCAGGGCUUAGCCAUGGAACUGCAUUUGAAACUGUUGAGCUAGAGUGAUGGAGAGGUAGGUGGAAUUCUUAGUGUAGCGGUGAAAUGCGUAGAGAUCAGGAGGAAUACUAGUGGCGAAGGCGGCCUACUGGACAGUAACUGACGUUGAUGCUCGAAAGCGUGGGGAGCAAACAGGAUUAGAUACCCCAGUAGUC
RNAcentral lists this ribosomal RNA (441 nucleotides) under uncultured bacterium. Its description in RNAcentral is "partial 16S ribosomal RNA". It matches the Rfam family "Bacterial small subunit ribosomal RNA", at positions 338 to 795 of the family's 1533-position model. The record is from RNAcentral.